Molecule: long non-coding RNA, 506 nt
Filed under: Monodelphis domestica (gray short-tailed opossum)
Lineage: Eukaryota; Metazoa; Chordata; Mammalia; Didelphimorphia; Didelphidae
Description: lncRNA (ENSMODG00000029846.2)
Source: RNAcentral
AGAAGAAGAAGGCCUGGGAGCUCACGAUGUCUAACCUGGGAAGAUUCCUAACAGACCUAAUUACUGAGCUGCAAAAAGUGAUGAAGAAACCAGAUAUAGAAAUGCUACAGGUUGUGAAAGAAACCUUAGAAAGGAGUGAUGUUUGGCUAGACUUGGAACCUUUCACACCAAAUCUGGAAACGUCUUAUGUCAAGAUUGUGAUCCAGUUUUUGAAACUCUUGCAAAGACAUAAUCUAUUGGAGAGCUGCAAAGACUACAAAUUGUCUGGGGAGAAAAAGAGGACAAUCAAAAUCGUUCCUGAUGACUUUGGCAUGGUAUAUCCUAUUUAUGUAUUUGGAUGUCUUCAAGUCAAAGACACCACAAGAAGAUUUAUAAUGAUGACUUAGUCUCAGGAUAAACUGUCGAAGAGGAAAAAGGAUAUACAAGAACUAUCACGACUUUACGGAGAACCAUGUAGAGGGAAAAACAUCAUCUACCAAGUCUUUUUGCUUCCACUAGAAAUGCAG